AGUGGGCUUGGGCGUUGAGUGAAGUAUCCAGGUUGGGCGCUUCCAGCGCUUUCUGUGGCGGGGGAAUGAAGGCCUAGGUCAGGGAAUAGGAGGGUGUAUCGCCGCCGGAGUGCGGAACACCCUCGCCUUGAGGGUUCCCACAGUGACUUGCAAAAGUCUAGUGAGACCCGAGAAGGCUGAGGCGGGACACGAAGCAUGUGGUUCUUGUGGUUGCGACGCUCGUGCCGCCAUCUUGGGUGCUGGCGGCGGAAACCGGUACCCCAACUUCCCCUCGGUGCGAACCUGGAGAAGCCACCCCAGCUGUGAGGGACGGUUGCGCCUCAUGGCCCAGGCAAGGGUACCUUCGCUGGAGCAGUACCGCGGACGGAUAUCAUGAGGGUGGCGGGACGUUGGCGGAACGUUGGCGGAACGUUGGCGGUGUGAGAGUUUACUCCCAGCAUCACUUGGGGAGCUUGCUAAGCUACGAAUUCCGAGGUCCCACUGGAGAGUCUGAUUUAAUGACCCUGGAGUGGCGGCCGGAUAACCUGCCUGCUGGGGUGAUUUUAACGCAGCUGAUGCGAAGACCCCAUUUAGGGAAUCAUUGGGUUGGCGUUUGCAAUGCGUUCCUCCCAGCUAUAGGACAAAGAGGUGUCAACUCAACUCUGUCUUCUUAGAAGAGCCCAUUAUUUAUAGGCUGGACUGGAACUCCUGGACUCAAGCGAUCUUCCCAUUUAUCAGGGACUACUGACGCAUGUCUCCCAAUAAAUACCUGAGUAUAAACAACA
Long non-coding RNA from Pan troglodytes (chimpanzee), 764 nucleotides. RefSeq lists it as uncharacterized. The record is from RefSeq and is a predicted model, not a curated record. Lineage: Eukaryota; Metazoa; Chordata; Mammalia; Primates; Hominidae. The transcript is spliced from 3 exons.